UGCGGUGGCUCCUCCGGCUCACGUUGUGGUUGGGUGUUUCGCUUUGAUUAACCUUUAGAGAAAAAAGUGGUGAUCACAACAAUGGAAAAAUUACGCAAAAUGGGAAUCGGAAAGGGCCUCAUUGGAGGCGAUUUAUGAAAUUCCCCGCAGUGACGCCGCCGAGCUUUGUCGGUGUGUUCCGGUAAAUUGCCCAGUUCUUUCACUCUG
Molecule: long non-coding RNA, 207 nt
Filed under: Carica papaya (papaya)
Lineage: Eukaryota; Viridiplantae; Streptophyta; Magnoliopsida; Brassicales; Caricaceae
Description: long non-coding RNA (CPAP_LNC000845)
Source: RNAcentral